Onychostoma macrolepis is the source of this 1343-nucleotide long non-coding RNA. RefSeq lists it as uncharacterized. Lineage: Eukaryota; Metazoa; Chordata; Actinopteri; Cypriniformes; Cyprinidae. The record is from RefSeq and is a predicted model, not a curated record. The transcript has 5 exons.
GCUCACUUGUGUACAUAUAUUUUUCACAUGUGAUCACAUGAAGACAACAUGUCACCACAUGUUGCAACAUAAGAGCACAUGUGGCACAUGUGGAUCACAUGUGGAAAAUGUUUCCUUGUGUUAUAAUAGGUUAUCACAUGUGGAAAAUGUUUCCAUGUAUUAAAAUAGGUUUUCACAUGUGGAUCAUAUGUUAGCUACAUGUAACAAAUACUGUGCAUUUUCAGCUUCACACUGUAUGUUGACUUCUAGUUUGUUCCUAUUUCCUGCUUCCCAUUGUAGUCCCUUGUAGCUUUCUUUAUUUGUUGUAAUGUAGGCUACUGUAGUUGCAAAGUUACUUUGGCUAUAUAAGCUAGUUAGUAAAAUAAAAGUAAAAUAAAAUAAAGUUCAUACUACUGAUAUAUGAUUUAUCAAUUAUACGUUACAUACCACUUAUGAUUAAUAUGUGCUCAUUUGAUACACCUUGUUAUUAGCUUGUACCUGUAAUUGUUGAUCAUCAGGUAGCAUAAUAACUAAUACAUACACACACACACACACACGAUAUAUUUAUAUAUAUUGUAAUAUGUAUUAUAUAUGCUUCACCUAAUUUUUUUUAUUGAGGAACAACAUUACAAAACAAUUAAAUUAAAAUUAAUAUUAUUAACAUUACAAUAAUAUCAUUAAUAAAUUCGUCUUCUUCUUCUUCUUAACAUUAUUAAUAAUAAUAAUAAUCACAAGACGCAAAAUAUAGAUACAUAAUAUUUUACAAUAGAUGUACCUUUAACAUUUUUCACAACCCCUAAAAAAAAUAUAAAUAUUUAUAAAUAUAAAUAAAUAAAUAAAAAAUAAAUAAAAUUAAAAUUAAAAACAGCUCAUUACAGAAAGGAUUUUGAAUUUGCGAGCAUGGUGAUGACGUUAUUUCCUCUCAUCCAACGGCUGCUGCUGACAGCUACAAUGAUGCCGGGGAAGAAAUGAUCGGAAAUAAAACAUCCAUUCGAGACGGUGUAUUUAAAAAUGAAGUGGGAGUUCUGCGCGAGCUCAUCAUUCGAACUAUAACGGUCAUCUAGCACUGUACGCUGAGGAAAAGGGAUAAGCAUUUCAACAGAGCCACAUCACCGAAUGGCAUUACACACUGUCCUUCCUGUGUGUUUGGCUUUUUCAGAACCUGCACGGACAAGUCUGAUGAGUGGAGAUGUUGCUGUGGCCCUCUUUACAGACGAUACAAAUUUCAUUACCAACCUGUGAAAAUCUCAUGUCAUUAUGGAAAUGUGACUCAAGUUGUUAUAGCUCUAAAUACAACACAGUUACAAAAGAGAUGAAUAAAUAUUGUGUUAAUUGUACUUAAUAGUGCCUCUCGUGUACUUUCA